Molecule: long non-coding RNA, 11342 nt
Filed under: Lactuca sativa (garden lettuce)
Lineage: Eukaryota; Viridiplantae; Streptophyta; Magnoliopsida; Asterales; Asteraceae
Description: long non-coding RNA (LSAT_LNC004617)
Source: RNAcentral
GUACAUAGGUCAAAACAAAAUCAUCGAGGGGCCCAGAUAUCAGCUUCUAAUCCAAGAAGGAACACAUAAACUUCGACUUAUAUGUUUGAUCUACCACUCAUUGAAUUACACACAAAAGCACGUUUUAUAACAUUGAGUUACCAAUGCGUUUUCGUACAAUCAAUGCAUAACCAACUUGUAAGUAACAAAUCAUAUCUCUAGGUUUGAAGACUUAUAUGAUAUUACCGUCUCACAAUCACUCGAGAUAGAAUUCCAUGAAGUGAUUCCAGUGAGCGUGGGUUGAGUCCAAUGCUCAGAACUUAUGAGCACUCAUGAUUGUUGUAGCCUUGUCCAACACCUUAGACCUCUACAACCCAUCAUGACAGUCUUGAUUCAUACCUACUUCCGACAUAUGACCGACUGUGGAGGUUUGAAUAAUAUGUUAUACCAAACAAAAUUAUUCUGGAAGUCAAAACAUGCAAAAGAAAUAUAGUAAACGAUCGACAAGAGAUAGCAACACUUUACUCAUAAAUAAAACACCUUUUAUUCAUCAUCUAAUGUCAAUUACACUUUACAAAUUUCGGGGUUAUCUAACUACUAAAUCUAAUAUCAUCCUUCAGCCCUAUGCUCCGAGCAUGCUGGAGAUGCUUAACCCGAGUCAGUCCCUUCGUGAGGGGAUCUGCUGGGUUCUCAUCCGAUGAUACCCUCUUUGCCACGAGGAGUCCUUCUUCGAUCCGAUGUCUGAUGAAAUGGUAUUUUCUGUCGAUGUGUCUGGAUCUCCCGUGAUCCCUUGGUUCCUUGGCUAAGGCAACAGCACUUUCACUAUCACAGAAAAUUUCCAUUGGCUCUUUAAUAGCUGGUACAACUCCAAGGUCUCCAAUGAAGUUCUUCAGCCAUAUCGCCUCCUUUGCUGCUUCACUAGCUGCAAUAUACUCUGAUUCACAAGUAGAAUCUGCCACUGUCUCUUGCUUGGAACUCUUCCAAGAAAUUGCUCCUCCGUUUAGGGUAAAGACCCAGCCCGACUGAGAGCGGAAAUUAUCCCUAUCAGUCUGGAAGCUAGCAUCACUAUACCCUACAACUCUCAAGUCAUCACUCCCACCGAGGGUAAGGACCCAGUCCUUAGUCCUCCGUAGGUACUUGAGGAUAUUCUUUACCGCAGUCCAGUGUGCCUUGCCAGGGUUCGCCUGAUACCUGCUAACCAUGCUCAAGGCAAAAGCUACAUCGGGUCGAGUACACGUCAUAGCAUACAUGAUCGAUCCUACAGCCGAAGCGUAAGGUGUUCGACUCAUUUCUGCUAUCUCAGCCUCAGUGCUAGGGCUUUGUGUCUUACUCAAUCUGGUGUUACUCUGGAUGGGUAACUCUCCUUUCUUGGAAUCCUGCAUGCUGAAUCUCUUCAGCACCUUAUCCAAGUAGGUACUCUGACUAAGUCCAAUUAGUCUUUUACUCCGAUCUCUCAAGAUUCUUAUCCCUAGAAUAUAGGCAGCUUCACCAAGGUCCUUCAUAGCGAAACACUUCCCAAGCCAGGACUUUACUUCCUGCAGGGUUGGAAUGUCGUUUCCUAUGAGUAGUAUGUCAUCCACAUACAAUACCAAAAAGCUAACUAUACUCCCACUAGCCUUGACAUACACACAAGAUUCAUCUUCACUCCUAGAAAAGCCAAAUUCCUUGACCUUUUCAUCAAAGCAAAGAUUCCAUCUGCGAGGUGCUUGCUUCAAUCCAUAAAUGGAUUUCUCAAGCUUACACACUCUAUUAGGGUACUCGUUGCUGACAAAACCCUCUGGCUGACUCAUGUAAACAUCUUCAGCCAACUUUCCAUUAAGGAAAGCGGUUUUGACAUCCAUCUGCCAUAUUUCAUAGUCAUGAAAUGCAGCUAUGGCUAACAGAACCCGAAUAGACUUAAUCUUGGCUACCGGAGAAAAGGUCUCAUCAUAAUCCACUCCAGGAAUUUGAGAGAAGCCCUUUGCAACCAGUCUAGCCUUAUAAGUGUGUACUUUACCAUCCAUGUCGGUCUUCUUCUUGAAGACCCAUUUGCACCCUACUGUCUUACGACCUGGUACAUUUUCAACCAAGUUCCAAACUUGAUUGUCAUACAUGGAUUGUAUCUCGCUAUCCAUAGCCUCUUUCCAUUUAGCAGACUCGGGGCCUGCCAUGGCUUCCUCGUAGCUGUUAGGGUCAUCUUGACUUACUAGUGUCUCAUCACUAAUAAGUGUCUCACCUUCUGCAGUAAUAUGGAAUCCAUAGUAAUGCUCAGGUGCACUCCUAACUCUCGUGGAACGUCUCAGAGGUACAGAUUUGUCAAUUGGCUCAACAGGAGUUUCCUCCUCAAGUUGAGGGCUAGAGUUUGAAGUUCCUUCACCGCUUGAUUCUUGAAUUUCUUCAAGAUCAAUUUGCCUCCCACUGUCUCCUUGGCUUAUAAACUCUCUUUCUCGAAAGACUCCUCUUCUUGCUACAAAGACCACAUUGUCACUAGGUCUGUAGAAGAGGUAACCAAAGGAUCGCUGUGGGUAACCGAUGAAAAUACACCUCUCGCUUCGAGGUUCGAGCUUAUCAUGAGUCUCGCGUCUCACGAAAGCCUCGCAACCCCAAAUCUUGAUGUGGUCUAGUUUAGGUACUUUACCAGUCCACAUCUCGUGAGGAGUUUUGGCAACUUUCUUUGUAGGGACUAGAUUAAGAAUAUGGGCGGCAGUCUCUAAGGCAUACCCCCAGAAUGAGAUUGGUAGCGUAGCUCGACUCAUCAUGGAACGAACCAUAUCUAACAAGGUUCGAUUACGCCUCUCAGCCACACCAUUCAACUGUGGUGUCCUGGGAGGUGUCAAUUGUGAGACUAUCCCACAUUCCCUUAGAUAGUCGAGGAACUCUGAACUAAGAUACUCACCACCACGAUCGGAUCGAAGCAUCUUAAUGUUCCUGCCCAAUUGAUUCUCGACUUCCUGUUUAAAUUCCUUAAACCUCUCGAAAGUCUCUGACUUAUGCUUGAUCAAGUAGACAUAUCCAUAUCUACUAUAAUCAUCAGUAAAAGUCAAAUAAUAACGAUUAGCAUCCCUUGUGGCAUGUUUGAAUGGUCCACACACAUCCGUGUGUAUAAGGUCCAACAAACCUUCACCCCUCUCACACGAACCUGUGAAGGGUGACUUUGUCAUUUUUCCAAGUAAGCAUGAUUCGCAACUAUCAUCUGACUUUAGGUCAAACGACUCCAAGACUCCAUCCUUUUGGAGUUGGCCUAUGCGUUUCUUGCUUAUAUGUCCAAGACGACAAUGCCAUAAAGAUGCUUUAUCCAAGUUAUUAUUAGUAGAAUCAAUACACAAAACAUUAUUUCCCAAGUUAUCUACAACAGAUACAGCUUCAUACACACCAUCACAAGGUAAUGCUUUAAAAUAAAAGACAUUAUUAUAGAAAACAUCUAUAGAACCAACUUCAUUAUUAAAUGAAAAGGUAAACCCUUGUUUGUACAAAGCAUGAAAGGAAAUAAUAUUUCUUGCCAUUCCUGGCGAAUAACAACACUUAUUCAAAUCUAAACUAAACCCACUACUUAGCGAUAAAGUAUAAACUCCAAUCUUGGUAACAGGUAUAGCUUUCCUAUUCCCCAUGAUCAAGUUUAUCCUUCCUUGCUCCACAUCCUCACUUCUUCUUAGUCCCUGCAAGUCACAACAAAUGUGAAUACCACACCCGGUAUCAAGGACCCAAGAAUUAGAAUGGGGUGAGUUAUUAGAAAUGAUAGUGUAAAUACCUGCAUGGUUGGGUUUAACUUUCCCAUCCUUCACAUCUUGCUGGUAUUUUGGGCAGUUCCGCUUCCAAUGAGCUUUUUCAUGGCAAUAGAAGCAUUCAGCCUCUUUUGGGUCAGAAGAAGGAGUAACGAAACCUUUCUUGGUUCCACUUGAAGAAGAGCCAUCAAGGGUCCGAGCCUUGGUACCCUUAGAAGAGCUCUUUCUCUUCCUCCCUCGACUUUUCCCGAUUGCCAAAACCGGAGUAGAGUUUUGAGUAGGAGUGAUAGCAACCGACUUCCCCUUAAGACCUGUUUCUGCGGUCUUGAGAAGUCCCUGAAGUUUGCUGAGGGUGACUUCUUCCUUGUUCAUGUGAUAUGUCAUGCGGAAUUGAUCAUAGCACGAUGGUAAGGAAUGCAAAAUAAUAUCUAUUGCAAGAUCCUCCGGGAAGUUCACAUUAAGCUUCAGCAAACGAUCCACAUACCUUUGCAUUUUCUGCAUGUGGCUCGUGACGGAUUCCCCGUCCUUCAUCAUGGUUGUUAUCAUGGAGCAGAUGAUUUCAUACCUCUCUUGUCUUGCACUUUGAUGGUAUCUUUCCAUCAAAUCUUGGUGCAUGUCAUAAGGGUAGAAAUCCUCAUAAGACUUUUGGAGUUCCGCUGUCAUCGUGGCCAUCAUGAUGCAAGCCACUUUCGUAGCAUCCCUUUCAUGUGCCCGAAAUUCAGCGAUCUCCUGAGGAGUUGCAGUGGACUCAUCAAUCUCCUUAAGCUCCUUGUCAAGGACAUAUUCUUUGUCCUCGUAGCGGGUAAUCAUCCUGAUGUUUCUGAUCCACUCAUUGAAGUUGGAUCCAUCAAAGGUGACUUUCCCACACAAGUUCAUAAGGGUAAAGGAGCCAUUAGGAUUAGAGCCAGAAGCAUUGUUGAAAGACAUCUGAAGGAAAGAGGACAAGAUUAGUUUAGAUAUAAGAGAGUCCUUAAUAAAACACCCAAAUGUAAUAUUAAGGCUAGGAUCCAAUCACAAUAUAAUAUAACUUAGAAGAGGUAUGCCGUAAUCUAAGCUAUAUCAUAUUUGAAAGGUAGGUGAAUGACGAUUCACCAAUUUCCACCACGAAAACCGCAAUAUUUUAGUAUUAGGUUUUUGAAUGGUUCUUAGAAAUUCCUAGAUUCUUUGAGAUUCAAUGAACUUUUCAAAGGCAUGUUUCAAUCUCGAGUGUGCCCUCCAAGUUUUGUGACUGGGAUACCGAGGAUCACAAAACGAGGUGUGAAGUAACCAUGCAAAUCACUUGGUACCCUUAAAGUUUAUCACUCAAUCGAUGUGCCGGUUAACCACACACGCUCCAUCGAUACUAUAAUAAACCCUAAGUCACCCUUUACCUACCUUGUUAAGUCCAAGUUAGUGUGCCGGUUAACCACACACGCUCCACCAACGACUUAAUCAAAGUGUAAAGUGUAAUUUCAUGGAAUAGCACCUUAUUCACAUUUUUCCUAAAGUAACUAAGAUUGGGAAUUUAAUAAAACAUUUAGUUACUUUAUAAUAUUCAUCAUACUUUGAAUGAGAAUUAAUAAGUCCUUGUCUUACCCGUUCGGCUAACGACCCUCCACCGAUCAAGCAAGCGGUGGGUGAGAGUGGACACCCAUUAAGUCACCAUUUUAUAGGCAACAACCUUAUACCCACCUUAUAGACCGGCUUCGUGAAUGAGGCGUACUAGCGGUAAGACGACUUUGUUCUUAUACAUAUAUAUAUAAUUAUUAAAUCAUAAUAAUAUAAGUAUAAGGGUUGAAUUUUAACUUUUAAAAUUCUAGGGGUUGGAACUAAAGUUUUAACUUAACUUUACUUGUUCCAAAACUUGAGGGCAAGUUUUGUAAACUUUCAAAACUUUUCAUUUCUUGUAACUUAUGAGUUUAAUAGAGUAAUAAAAUGAGGACUUUUCAUUUUUCCUAACUCUUGUGUUCUUUUAAUGGUUUUUAAUCCAAGAGACUUUUGGUUUUCCAUAACUUGAGGACAAGUUAUGGACUCCAUUAAAACACAUUAUGAUCAUGAAUUAAUCUACCACAUAGGUUACAAAUAAUUCCUAUGAUCAUCUAAACAUCAUAAGAACAAGAAUAUGAAUAUGAACACUUUCAAGAAUCAAAAUCACAUUUAAUCUUUGUAAUUUUGAUAACUAGUUGUUGUAAAUGAGUUAGAAAAGACAUUACACCUUCUAAAAUAAGUUUUCAAGUACCAAAACAUUUUAGGGUAAUGAUUCUAAUCCAUUUCCAGCAACUCAAGUCGAAAUUCUGCACUCUGUCGACCCUACUCGCCGAGUGCAUAAACCUACUCGCCGAGUAGGUUGAAGAUACACAUGAACUCGACGAGUCCUCCCCAUGGACUCGCCGAGUCCAUCAGUCAGACAGCAGAAUUUUCGACUUUCUUCAACUUUUAAGCACAAAUAACAAACAAACAAGCCUAGGCUCUGAUACCACUGAUGGGUUUUGAGCAUUCUAACACUUCCUAAGUGUACAUGCAACCCUAAUAACCUUGGAUCUAUGUUUGUCUAAUUAUCAUGCAAAGUUGAAUUCCAAGGUUAUAUUCCUAUCUAGCAUAUAAGGAGAACAAUUUUAACUUGAAUGAAAGAUAGAAUAACAUACCUUUUUGUUGCUAAUGUUCCUAGAAACCUUGUGAGUCUAGCACCCCAAGUGUGAUGCCUCAAAUGCUUCACACAACACCAAAUGCUCUUGGAAAGACUCUUGAGAUAACACACACUUCUCAAAAUCGGCCAAGCCCUCUAGUUUCUUAGUGUUCAACUUGUGUAGCCAAUUUUGUGGAGAAUGGGACUCUUAUAUAGUGUUGGCACAUCUAGGGUUACACCAUGUAAACCCUAAUGUGUCAUGACUCUUCAUUUCCAUGACCCAUGGGUUUGUAACUCCCAUGGAGCAUCCAUGGAGCAUCCUAUGGGUAGAACCCAACUUGAUAAUCCAUGGAGCCUCUUAGCCCACUAUACAAGAUAUGAAUGAUUUACAUAAUCAACCCAUAUAUUUAAUUAGUUAUCCUUUGAUCACUUAAUUAAUUCUAAAUUAAUUCUUGAUCAAACUAAUCAAAUAAUAUUAUUAAUAUAUUAGAACUUAUAAUAUAUUAAUAAUCUCCAAGUGUUAUUUCUCUCAUUUAGUCUAUCCAAUUGCAUGGUGUCAUGCAACCCAAAUGGACCAUGCCGGGUCGGGUCAAGUACUUACCAGAAAUUGUUAUGGACUUAGACACCUUAUCCAACAGUUAAGUCACUGAUCCUACCAGUGGCCAACUCAAUAGGUUGGGAGAACCCAAAAGAGUUAAUGCUGGAAGCAUACUGCCCGUUGGCCGAAGUUCAAAAUCUGGAACAAGAACAAUGGGAGCUCACGAUGGUCGGCUCAGACAUAGUGGCCUAUACUGAUAGAUUUAGCGACUUAGCUACACUAUGCCCCGGGAUGGUUACCCCGGAGAGCAAGAAGAUCGAAAAGAUACAUCUGUGGUCUGACUGCCCUGAUCCAAGGAGAUGUGUUGUCUUCUAACCCGACCACAUUCGAUAGUGUCAAAUGUUUUACUCAGCGACUCAUCGACCAUGGAGUCCGCCAUUGUGUAGAAGUCCCCGUUCCCGAGCCAUCAAAGGGAGAGGACUAUAAACAGAAGUGGGGGAAUAAGAGGAAGAAGAAGCAAACAACACAUGAACCCCCACUAGAACAAAAAACGAGUACUAUGUACGCCGCUACAACACCUGCUGCUCCAGCACCUACCAGUUGGUAUGCUGGAACCCUCCCGAAGUGUGGAAAAUGGAACUAUCACCACACCGGAGUAUGCCGAGAAAUGCAGUGUCUGAACUGCCAUAGAAAGGGACACACUGUCCGUUUCUGCAGGGCACCGGCUCAACCGAUCUCCCAAGUCCCCAGUGUCGAAGACAACCAAGACUGCUAUGGCUAUGGUGAGACUGGUCAUUACUAGAGGGACUGCCCGAUAACAAAGAACUCAGGAGCAGAUGGACGAAUCCUGAUGAUCACCGCAGGAGAAUCAACCCCAUAGUCGUUAGCGAGUAGCGAUACGUUUUCGAAAUAGUAAUUAAUUUAUAUUUAUAUAAGAUUAAAAUUGGGGAAAACACUUAAAAGUAAUUUUAAUAACUCACGUAUUGAAACAAGUCACAUUAUUAGUAAGAACAAAAAGAUUCGCUCAGAGAAGCUAUGAUGGCUUAGUAUGUACAUCAGGGUUGUGCAUAACUAAGAUGUUGCAGACUUAGAGUGAGUGAUUCUGCCUUAAUUCUUGUUCCUUGUUUGGUUGUGGAUUUGAGGCAGAGUUACUCAGUCGACCGUAUUAUUCAUCUUAAUUAUUCAUAACUUGUAUAUCGCAGGCGAUCAUAGUGGUACCAAGGAGGAUCAUAGUAUAAUUUAUCGACACUAGUUAACAAAGCACUUUUGCAGUAUGUAUGCGCACAUCGCGGUACGAUACGAAGAAGUGUUAUCAAAAAGAAGAAAACAGAAAGCACUAGAACAGUUACAAAGAGUACAUUGUCGAACACACUAGGAGUACAUCAUCGUAGAACAAACGUUUCUUUCAAAUCGGCAAAAACUUUUUUCAGUAAAGAGUCCGUUACUAUCAUUCGUCAUGAAUUGCCGUGGUCCCCACCAUACUAAGUUCAUAUGUUUCUAUUGCCUCGACCGUCAAAUUCACGAAACCUUCAUCAUUCGUAUUGAUAGUACGACCUAAACCUCAGUUUUGUCUUUCAUAUCCUAAACCCCGAAGUACUCGUGCGAAGGGCAGUUUGUCCUCCAAAGCCUUGUUGUCGUAUGUCCCACAGACCGUCACGAAAUACCACUCAUCCAGCAGACCAAGUUCGAGCAUAGAGGCUAAGGACGAAUACAUCCCACCUAUUACUAUUCAGUGUAUAUGCGAGGGUGGUAUAUAAUUAUGAUUACGCAGAUUUAGUUUGUGUGCUUCCACCCUAUCUCUUGUUCCUUGUUUGGUUGUGGACCUGGGGUAGAGUCGCACAUCCAACCGUCUUACUAAUCCUAAUUAUAUGUGACUUGUAUACAUGAGGUAAUGAUAGAUGGACCGAGUAUGAGUCCAAUCAUGAACAAUAGGGCAAAGUUGCCAGGUCUACGAGUGGAUAUUCUGCAAAUCAGAGGAGCGCAACCACAGUAGUACUACUAAGAAAGCUAAUUUCGAGACGAAAUUCCAUCUAACGGGGGGAUGAUGUGAUAACCUGAAAUUUUUUGCCUUGUAAAGUCCAGCCAAUCAACCUUAAGUCAGACUUGCUCCUGCUAUCAUUUAGCAUUGUUUAGAGUCUGCUUGAGUGUUUGAAGACUAGUACAUUCAAGGAAUGAGUGUUAGGAAGUACCUGCUAGAUACUGUGGAACAUUCAACCCUUAAUCAUCAUUAAAAGGAGUUCACAGCCACAGCACUUGAGUUUAUGACCAUAAACUCAAGGUGGGCCAUAAACUCCCCCAUAUAGUCUCAUAUCCUUUAUUUCUUCCUCUUUCUUCACCAUUUCUAUCCAAGAACUCAAAAACUCUCUCAAGUAUCAUAAGGAUAUUCACUUUUUCUUCAAAAAUAUAAGUGUUCCAUUCCUUGAUUUGAUGAUACAUCUUCUUAACUAGCUUCAUCCUCAUGAUUCAUCCAUGAAAUCAUCCAUUUUGUCUAAAUCUUCAUAAUCUUCAACUUUCACCAAGAACACACACUAGUGUUUUGGUGCAAAAUCAACCCUUUCAAGAUUCAGUAUCGUGAGUACUCUUUCCUUAACUAGUUGUAUGCUAGAAACACUUGAUCUACACCUUGAAUUCAUCCAUUUCUCAAGACCAAAAGGAGUUUACAGCCAAGAGCAUAUCCCUUGCCGUAAACUCCUAUAAAGGUGCCAUUUUGGCCGUAAACUCUCCAAGAUGCAAAGCUUGUGACCUAGAAAACUUCCUUGAUACAAAAAGGACCUUAAACCACACACUUAGGCAUGUUGACCAUGAGUUUAUUGAUGGGUUUUGAGCAUUCUAACACUUCCUCAGUGUACAUGAAACCCUAAUAACCUUGGAUCUAUAUUUGUCUAAUUAUCAUGCAAAGUUGAAUUCCAAGGUUAUAUUCCUAUCUAGCAUACAUGGGGAACAAUUUUUAACUUGAAUGAAAGAUAGAAUAACUUGCCUUGUUGUUUGUUAUGUUCCUUGAAACCUUGUGAGCCUAGCACCCCAAGUGUGAUGCCUCAAAUGCUUCACACAACACCAAAUGCUCUUCGAAAGACUUUUGAGAGAAUACACACUUCCUAAAAUCGGCCUAGCCCUCUUGUUUCAUAUGUGUAGCCGAUUUUGGUGGAGUAUGAGACUCUUAUAUAGUGUUGACACAUCUAGGGUUUCACCAUGUAAACCCUAAUGUGUAAUGACUUUUCAUUUCCAUGACCCAUGGGUUUGUAACUCCCAUAGAGCAUCCAUGGAGCAUCCUAUGGGUGGAACCCAACUUGAUAAUCCAUGGAGCAACUUAGCCCACUAUACAAUAUAUGGAUGAUUUACAUAAUCAACCCAUAUAUUUAAUUAGUUGUCUUUUGAUCACUUAAUUAAUUCUAAAUUAAUUCCUGAUCAAACUAAUCAAAUAAUAUUAUUAAUAUAUUAGAACUUAUAAUAUAUUAAUAAGCUCCAAGUGUUAUUUCUCUUAUUUAGUCUAUCCAAUUGGUUGGUGCCAUGCAACCCAAAUGGACCAUGUCGGGUCGGGUCAAGUACUUACCAGAAAUAGUUAUGGACUUAGACACCUUAUCCAACAGUCUGCCACUUGGAUAAGUCUAAUAACUAUAACUCUAGUACUUCAGGAACCGACCGGCAAUCGUAGCUCUUUCAAGGUCUCUCGGAACUGAGAAGAUGAUGAUACGCCAUUUAAGAUAAGUGAUCAUAUAAUCCUCUGUUCUAGAUAUCAGCCGGACAAAUACAUGGAACAAUGUCUUACUUAUUGUCCAGCAGUUUGUUUCCCGAUUUCCGAUUUGUUUGACAAAGAACUUAAUUGAACACAUCAACUUAGUUCUGACCGGGCCCGGUACAUAGGUCAAAACAAAAUCAUCGAGGGCNGAAUUACACACAAAAGUACGUUUUAUAACAUCGAGUUACCAAUGCGGUUUCGUACAGUCAAUGCAUAACCAACUUGUAAGUAACAAAUCAUAUCUCUAGGUUUGAAGACUUAUAUGAUAUUACCGUCUCACGAUCACUCGAGAUAGAAUUCCAUGAAGUGAUUCUAGUGAGCGUAGGUUGAGUCCAAUGCUCAGAACUUAUGAGCACUCAUGAUUGUUGUAGCCUUGUCCAACACCUUAGACCUCUGCAACUAAUCAUGACAGUCUUGAUUCAUACCUACUUCCGACAUAUGACCAACUGUGGAGGUUUGAAUAAUAUGUUAUACCAAACAAAAUUAUUCUGGAAGUCAAAACAUGCAAAAGAAAUAUAGUAAACGAUCGACAAGAGAUAGCAACACUUUACUCAUAAAUAAAACACCUUUUAUUCAUCAUCUAAUGUCAAUUACACUUUACAAAUUUCUAGGUUAUCUAACUACUAAAUCUAAUAUCAUCCUUCAGCCCUAUGCUCUGAGCAUGCUGGAGAUGCUUAACCCGAGUCAGUCCCUUCGUAAGGGGAUCUGCUGGAUUCUCAUCCGUGGAUACCCUCUUUGCCAUGAGCAGUCCUUCAUCUAUUCGAUGUCUUAUAAAAUGGUAUU